UUGCCCAAGGUGACAAGCCAAGAGGGGGGGGUGAAUUGGUUUCUUUUAAUUUUAACUAUCUUACUUGUGUUAAAUGAUGAGUUAGUAAACUUAAACAAAUCACAAUACAAACAACAAGAAGUAUAGUGGUUCGGUGCUCUCCUUAGCACCUACGUCCACUCUCCAAGCGACCCCUUGGAAAUUCACUAUAAUCCCGCAGAUUACAGUUGGAUUGUUUUUCGGGCUCACAAUCCAAAAACCUUUACACUUUGGUUUUCCGGGUUCACCAAAAAUCUAUGUUGGUUUUACGGACUCACCAACGAACCUAUGUUGGUUUUUCGGGCUCACCAACGAACCUUUACAAUUGAUUUUCCGGGUUCACCAAUCAACCUAUUCCGUUGGUUUUGCGGGCUA
This 393-nucleotide long non-coding RNA is filed under the name Phoenix dactylifera (date palm). RNAcentral describes it as "long non-coding RNA (PDAC_LNC011419)". The record is from RNAcentral. Lineage: Eukaryota; Viridiplantae; Streptophyta; Magnoliopsida; Arecales; Arecaceae.